AGAUUGGUUGCUGGUGGAACGUUUACCCUGGCUGUGCAAACCUUAUUGAGAGUGGCAAUCGCACGGGUAAAGUAUCUUUUGAGAGGUUGCUGUAGCUAAAAUGGGCAAAGUGGUAGUGGCUUUUCUUUUCUUGGCGACUGUAAUCUGCGUCAUAGCGGCACAGGAAUCUAGGCACGGAUUGCCGUACAGGUGCCGAGGACCAAGGCCGCAUCAAGGUAACUGCUUCCGGGCCGACCAUAUGUGGCACUUCAACGGUUAUCGAUGCGUCAAACUUCCUUUGCAUUGCUACACGACGAACCCCAAUAGCAAUGCCUUCGGCUCCAAGUUUGAAUGCAAACGCCUGUGCGAGGGGCGUCACGGAUAAAUUAGUUUAAAUAUCUGUACG
Long non-coding RNA from Dreissena polymorpha, 385 nucleotides. RefSeq lists it as uncharacterized. The transcript is spliced from 3 exons. NCBI's taxonomy places the organism in Eukaryota, Metazoa, Mollusca, Bivalvia, Myida, Dreissenidae. The record is from RefSeq and is a predicted model, not a curated record.